RNAcentral lists this ribosomal RNA (491 nucleotides) under uncultured Serratia sp. RNAcentral describes it as "bacterial SSU rRNA". The record is from RNAcentral. Lineage: Bacteria; Pseudomonadati; Pseudomonadota; Gammaproteobacteria; Enterobacterales; Yersiniaceae.
AUUGAACGCUGGCGGCAGGCCUAACACAUGCAAGUCGAGCGGUAGCACAGGAGAGCUUGCUCUCUGGGUGACGAGCGGCGGACGGGUGAGUAAUGUCUGGGAAACUGCCUGAUGGAGGGGGAUAACUACUGGAAACGGUAGCUAAUACCGCAUGACCUCGCAAGAGCAAAGUGGGGGACCUUCGGGCCUCACGCCAUCGGAUGUGCCCAGAUGGGAUUAGCUAGUAGGUGRGGUAAUGGCUCACCUAGGCGACGAUCCCUAGCUGGUCUGAGAGGAUGACCAGCCACACUGGAACUGAGACACGGUCCAGACUCCUACGGGAGGCAGCAGUGGGGAAUAUUGCACAAUGGGCGCAAGCCUGAUGCAGCCAUGCCGCGUGUGUGAAGAAGGCCUUAGGGUUGUAAAGCACUUUCAGCGAGGAGGAAGGGUUCAGUGUUAAUAGCACUGUGCAUUGACGUUACUCGCAGAAGAAGCACCGGCUAACUCCGUGC